This 196-nucleotide small nucleolar RNA is filed under the name Nannizzia gypsea CBS 118893. Lineage: Eukaryota; Fungi; Ascomycota; Eurotiomycetes; Onygenales; Arthrodermataceae. The record is from RNAcentral.
CCGUCUCUUGCCUCGCUCGGUCAGUGCGCACUUUCAAUCGUCUGACCUUGAGCUGGAUGCAUCCGUCUUUCGUCUUAGUGAUGUAGAUGAUUUGUAUGAGACUAGAGGAAACCACCUAGCCGGUGAUCUUUGAGUACGAUCCUUUCCGACUUCUUUUCACGGAAUUAGGCAUCGUAAUUUAUCCGUCGGUACAUCU